This 253-nucleotide ribosomal RNA is filed under the name uncultured Lachnospiraceae bacterium. RNAcentral describes it as "partial 16S ribosomal RNA". It matches the Rfam family "Bacterial small subunit ribosomal RNA", at positions 524 to 776 of the family's 1533-position model. Lineage: Bacteria; Bacillati; Bacillota; Clostridia; Lachnospirales; Lachnospiraceae. The record is from RNAcentral.
UACGUAGGGGGCAAGCGUUAUCCGGAUUUACUGGGUGUAAAGGGAGCGUAGACGGUGAUGCAAGUCAGAAGUGAAAGCCCGGGGCUCAACUCCGGGACUGCUUUUGAAACUGCCAGGCUAGAGUGUCGGAGAGGCAAGUGGAAUUCCUGGUGUAGCGGUGAAAUGCGUAGAUAUCAGGAGGAACACCAGUGGCGAAGGCGGCUUGCUGGACGAUGACUGACGUUGAGGCUCGAAAGCGUGGGGAGCAAACAGG